RNAcentral lists this ribosomal RNA (511 nucleotides) under uncultured bacterium. RNAcentral's name for it is "partial 16S ribosomal RNA". It matches the Rfam family "Bacterial small subunit ribosomal RNA", at positions 29 to 507 of the family's 1533-position model. The record is from RNAcentral.
AUGAACGCUGGCGGCGUGCCUAAUACAUGCAAGUCGAACGAAACUUCUUUAUCACCGAGUGCUUGCACUCACCGAUAACGAGUUGAGUGGCGAACGGGUGAGUAACACGUGGGCAACCUGCCCAAAAGAGGGGGAUAACACUUGGAAACAGGUGCUAAUACCGCAUAACCAUAGUUACCGCAUGGUAACUAUGUAAAAGGUGGCUAUACUACCGCUUUUGGAUGGGCCCGCGGCGCAUUAGCUAGUUGGUAGGGUAAAGGCUUACCAAGGCAAUGAUGCGUAGCCGAAUUGAGAGGGUGAUCGGCCACAUUGGGACUGAGACACGGCCCAAACUCCUACGGGAGGCAGCAGUAGGGAAUCUUCCACAAUGGGCGAAAGCCUGAUGGAGCAACGCCGCGUGAGUGAAGAAGGUAUUCGGAUCGUAAAACCCUGUUGUUAGAGAAGAAAGUGCGUGAGAGUAACUGUUCACGUUUCGACGGUAUCUAACCGGAAAGCCACGGCUAACUACGUG